RNAcentral lists this ribosomal RNA (253 nucleotides) under uncultured bacterium. Its description in RNAcentral is "partial 16S ribosomal RNA". It matches the Rfam family "Bacterial small subunit ribosomal RNA", at positions 524 to 776 of the family's 1533-position model. The record is from RNAcentral.
UACAGGGGGUGCAAGCGUUAUCCGGAUUCACUGGGUUUAAAGGGUGCGUAGGUGGGUUGGUAAGUCAGUGGUGAAAUCUCCGUGCUUAACAUGGAAACUGCCAUUGAUACUACUGAUCUUGAAUUUUCAGGAGGUAAGCGGAAUAUGUCAUGUAGCGGUGAAAUGCUUAGAUAUGACAUAGAACACCAAUUGCGAAGGCAGCUUACUACAGGAACAUUGACACUGAUGCACGAAAGCGUGGGGAUCAAACAGG